Lingula anatina is the source of this 548-nucleotide long non-coding RNA. The record is from RefSeq and is a predicted model, not a curated record. Lineage: Eukaryota; Metazoa; Brachiopoda; Lingulata; Lingulida; Lingulidae.
UAUGAUUACAACAAGGCCGUGGUCCUUUAUGAUUACAACAAGGUCGUGGUCCUUCAUGACUAAGGGACCAUUCAGAAUAGGUGAUCCGAGUACUAACUGAUUAGUUAGUACUCAGAUCAUCUAUUUUGAAUGGCCCCUAAUACAGGUUAGACAUAGUCGAAAGUAACGGGGUUGGUAUAUGGAAUGACUAUCAUUGAAAAGUAGCUGGGAGAAGGACUGCCACUCCUGUCACAACGUUGUUUAAAUUUUUGAACGUAGAAAUAUUACGUAUGGUACACUGUGUUUUAGUUAAUAUUCUCUAGAAACCAAAUUAAUUCGAUCAAAGGGAUAAAUUAAUAGCUGGAUGCUGCUUAGCUUUGCUUGCACUAGUAUAAUGGUAGAUAUACUUUAGGGGCUCUGCAUAAUACUUGCCAAAUGGGUGAAUAUAGUCUCUAUUCUCAUACGUACCACUUUGUAUUUUGCAUUGUUAAAAUCCUGUUGGGUGUUAUGAUGAAUUUUCAAAGAAAACCAAUACUUCUUAAUAAAGAUUAUAGUUUAUUACAAAACUC